GAAUUUGAGGAUGAUGACAGUCACAAUGAUGCUAGAACAGAAGAAUUUGAACAAGAUGGCAGUUAUGACACAGACAAUGACACGACACCAGAAGAAUUUGAAGAAGAUGGCAGUUAUGACACAGACUAUGACGCGACACCAGAAGCCAGCAGCAGUGACACCAGCAGUGAGGCAACAAGAGCAGAAUUUGAAAAGGAUCCAUUUCACAUCUAUGGAAGUUCACCAACAUUAGGCAGGCCAUUGUGUGACUUUGUUAAUAUAACAAAAGCUGAGGCUCUCCUGUUGAUCCUGUCAUUUGCAAUGAGGCAUUCACUUACUGGAGUUGCUAUCGUUGACCUCUUGCAACUUAUAAAUGUAUUAUUUGGAAUUAAUGUACUUAACAGUUCAAAGCACCUAUUUCAAAAAGUUUUCGGAAAAAUUACAGACAUGCUUAAUUUUCAUUUUAAUUGUCCCUUUUGCAAUUCGUACAUUGGUAUUGUAAAUUCCAGAAACACUGCAAAUUGUCCACAAUGUAACAACAAAUUUAACACUAAAGAUCUCAAGGAGAAUUUUUUUUCAUUACUGUCCCCCUGGCUCCACAAAUGCGCUGCAUUCUUGAACAAUUGGAUCACACCGACAUGCUAAAUUACAGAAAAUUCAGAAACAAAAAUGGGUCAAUUUCAGAUAUUUUAGAUGGUGAAAUGU
Long non-coding RNA from Alosa sapidissima (American shad), 684 nucleotides. RefSeq lists it as uncharacterized. The record is from RefSeq and is a predicted model, not a curated record. NCBI's taxonomy places the organism in Eukaryota, Metazoa, Chordata, Actinopteri, Clupeiformes, Clupeidae. The transcript has 4 exons.